This 497-nucleotide ribosomal RNA is filed under the name uncultured bacterium. RNAcentral describes it as "partial 16S ribosomal RNA". It matches the Rfam family "Bacterial small subunit ribosomal RNA", at positions 28 to 507 of the family's 1533-position model. The record is from RNAcentral.
GACGAACGCUGGCGGCGUGCCUAAUACAUGCAAGUAGAACGCUGAAGAGAGGAGCUUGCUCUUCUUGGAUGAGUUGCGAACGGGUGAGUAACGCGUAGGUAACCUGCCUUGUAGCGGGGGAUAACUAUUGGAAACGACAGCUAAUACCGCAUAACAAUGGAUGACACAUGUCAUUUAUUUGAAAGGGGCAAUUGCUCCACUACAAGAUGGACCUGCGUUGUAUUAGCUAGUAGGUGAGGUAAUGGCUCACCUAGGCGACGAUACAUAGCCGACCUGAGAGGGUGAUCGGCCACACUGGGACUGAGACACGGCCCAGACUCCUACGGGAGGCAGCAGUAGGGAAUCUUCGGCAAUGGGGGCAACCCUGACCGAGCAACGCCGCGUGAGUGAAGAAGGUUUUCGGAUCGUAAAGCUCGGUUGUAAGUCAAGAACGGGUGUGAGAGUGGAAAGUUCACACUGUGACGGUAGCUUACCAGAAAGGGACGGCUAACUACGUG